CUUGUAUCUGAAAAAUGAAUUGAAACCAUGUUAACUGCCUGGUUAGUGAGCAGUUUUAAUAAUUAAGCUACAAUAAACAGGAAACUAGGUCAAAGAGCUCAGCUACAUUACAGUAGGCUAAGACUUAGAAUGUCCAAAAUUAAUGUUAUAUGGUAAGCAACACCUAAACAGUCACUAUGUGUAGUCGGAUUUGAUUCUUAUGGAGAUCUGCGAAGACUGAGGGAGUAACAACGGUUAGAGAAGUCAGAAGAGAAAGGGGGAAACUCUGAAUCCUGAGAAGUUAUUCAAUACACCAAAGUAAACUGCUGACCAGCCUUGCUGAUUGCCUUGUGAAGACAGGGCUACUCUCUAGAGAAUGAAACACACCACAAAGAAGCAUUAGACCACUGCAAUAUCACUGGAGGACAUUUGGGAAUUUGGGCCACUUGAGUGGUGGGAGAGGAG
Long non-coding RNA from Dromaius novaehollandiae (emu), 444 nucleotides. RefSeq lists it as uncharacterized. NCBI's taxonomy places the organism in Eukaryota, Metazoa, Chordata, Aves, Casuariiformes, Dromaiidae. The transcript has 4 exons. The record is from RefSeq and is a predicted model, not a curated record.